AUUGAACGCUGGCGGCAUGCUUUACACAUGCAAGUCGGACGGCAGCACAGAGAAGCUUGCUUCUUGGGUGGCGAGUGGCGAACGGGUGAGUAACAUAUCGGAACGUACCGAGCAGUGGGGGAUGACUAAUCGAAAGAUUAGCUAAUACCGCAUAUUUUCUGAGGAAGAAAGCAGGGGACCAUUUGGCCUUGCGCUGUUUGAGCGGCCGAUAUCUGAUUAGCUAGUUGGUGGGGUAAGGGCCUACCAAGGCGACGAUCAGUAGCGGGUCUGAGAGGAUGAUCCGCCACACUGGGACUGAGACACGGCCCAGACUCCUACGGGAGGCAGCAGUGGGGAAUUUUGGACAAUGGGCGCAAGCCUGAUCCAGCCAUGCCGCGUGUCUGAAGAAGGCCUUCGGGUUGUAAAGGACUUUGUCAGGGAAGAAAAGGACAGGGUUAAUACCCCCUGUCUGAUGACGGUACCUAAAGAAUA
Molecule: ribosomal RNA, 471 nt
Filed under: Neisseria pharyngis
Lineage: Bacteria; Pseudomonadati; Pseudomonadota; Betaproteobacteria; Neisseriales; Neisseriaceae
Description: bacterial SSU rRNA
Rfam family: Bacterial small subunit ribosomal RNA
Source: RNAcentral